CGGCGCCGCGCGCCAAUGCACCACUUGCGCGGGGGUCGGGGGAGGAAGGGCAGCUCGCCCCGCGGAGUCCGGGCUGAACCACACUGCGCGGCCGCGGGAGGUGCCGUGGCAAUCCGGCCCUCCAGAGACCGUUCAGCUAUCUUGAGCCGCUAGAGCUAGGAGAAAAAUGCAGACGCGAGGAGACGUGGGGGAUUGCUCUUCCUUGUUUGAUGUGGGAGAAAAAGCGACUGGGGCUUGCUGGACCCGCUCCCCUGUGCGGUGACAUGGCACCUCCCUUCCGACCGUUGGCCGGGAUAGCUUUCCCGGAGGUCGCGUCCCCCAGCGGAGGCGGCGGGAAUCGCGGAGGUUUUGUGCUGCGGCUGGGGUCUUUCUGGCCGUCCCGCCUCUAGAUGCCGGGUGGCAGGGAGCCGGUGGCGGUCGGCCAUGUGAAGGUGGCCAUCUUGGCCGGCCAGCGAGGGCUCCUCACGGCCUUCCUUCGGCGUCCCUGCCCGGCUCGUUGCCGGCCCCGGGAUAUCUGAGGGGCGCAGGCCCACCUUCUAGUCGUUUCCUGGUGAAUGGCUCUGCUGAAGAUGGCCGGAAAGCAGAUUAAUGAAGGUGCUGCCAUCGAUUUAAACAAUCGCCCUCCUGCCCGCUCCCCUGCGCUAAAGUUUCUGAGGGAUCCUCACCCUUCGUGGUUCGUGGACUUAAAAGUGGAGGCAGCGCUCCAGCCUUUCCCUCCAGAGAGAAAGGAGGCCGCUCCCAAGUCCGUCCUUGCCCCGUGGCCUUCCUGUUCCUUUGAAGGGGGGGGGAAUCGAUGUUUCAAUCCUCUGUUCAGGAGAAUAUGGAACGAACAUUUCUUUUUUGGUGGGUGGGGGCUAUUCGUUCCCUUGAAUGUGCUUAAGCAGAUCUCUUGACGGCGUGGAAUGGGCUGUUUCAUGAAGCUUUCACUUUAAAAUGUCCACCUGCGUUUGUCCCAGUUUUGCCCAAUAAAGGAAUUACAGGGAAAAAGAGCGAAACAAAACUUGAGCCAGCAAGGAGUAUGGAGUCCCGUUUGGAGGGAGCCCGCCUUGGGGGCGGGGGUCUCUGCAGCCUGUUCUGGGGCUGGGCCUCGGUGCAGGUCUGGUCGGGCUGGUGGCCUGGUGGCCCUGAGCGGAGCGCGUGACAAGAACGCCGGGUUUAAUGAGGUUCUCAGGGAACGGCCUGCUCCUAGCAUGGGAUGUACUUUACGCUGGGGAGGUGAAGGAGACCCCUAGUAACAGUCUCCAGCUGCCUACUGCUGGCGGCAGUAGAACAAGGUGCAUUCCCAAGAACAAUCCUCUCCGUCGGUGCAGGAGGAAAGGUGGGAUUUGCUAAAGGCUCAGUGGGAAACAAAGGAAGCACUUGGGCUGUGCUGGGGGCAUCCACAAAGAAGAUAAAGGGCUCCUCCCCAGACUCAGUGACCACAUCCACGGUCGCUCAAAGCAGGCAGCAAGAAAAGGUUCGACCACAAAAGAGACAAUAGAUGAAGAAACUGGCAUGUUAUUCGUCCAUGUCACACAUCAAAUCAGUAGUGGAGCUAGGGCCUUGAGCCUGGUCUGACCUCUAAAUUCAUGCCCCUUCUUAUAGCCAAACAAUAAAUACUGCAUACUCCCUGAGGUCGUUAAUAUUAACAAUUUGGUUUAUAUCCUCCCUUUCCUUUUUCUGUGAACACACACACGCACACAUCUUACUAUUCAGAGAAACAUGGAUUUUUUUUUUCUUAACAAUUUUCAUGACUGUCUCUCCAGGAUACUAUGUAGAGCUGUAAAUCAUUUCCUUCUCUUUUACUGUGGGAAAAUAUAUACAACAUAAAAUAGGUAGCUCACCAAGGAGAAAAUGCAAAUUGCAAUAAACAUAUGAAAA
Molecule: long non-coding RNA, 1860 nt
Filed under: Homo sapiens (human)
Lineage: Eukaryota; Metazoa; Chordata; Mammalia; Primates; Hominidae
Description: HSALNT0035012
Source: RNAcentral